This 431-nucleotide ribosomal RNA is filed under the name uncultured bacterium. RNAcentral's name for it is "partial 16S ribosomal RNA". It matches the Rfam family "Bacterial small subunit ribosomal RNA", at positions 29 to 507 of the family's 1533-position model. The record is from RNAcentral.
AACGAACGCUGGCGGCAGGCUUAACACAUGCAAGUCGAGCGCCCCGCAAGGGGAGCGGCAGCCGGGUGCGUAACGCGUGGGAACGUACCUUUUGGUUCGGAACAACUCCGGGAAACUGGAGCUAAUACCGGAUAAGCCCUAACGGGGAAAGAUUUAUCGCCGAAAGAUCGGCCCGCGUCUGAUUAGCUAGUUGGUGAGGUAACGGCUCACCAAGGCGACGAUCAGUAGCUGGUCUGAGAGGAUGAUCAGCCACACUGGGACUGGGACACGGCCCAGACUCCUACGGGAGGCAGCAGUGGGGAAUAUUGGACAAUGGGCGCAAGCCUGAUCCAGCCAUGCCGCGUGAGUGAUGAAGGCCUUAGGGUUAUAAAGCUCUGUUGUCCGGGAAGAUAAUGACUGUACCGGAAGAAUAAGCCCCGGCUAACUUCGUG